CGGGGUGAGUAAUGUAUGGGGAUCUGCCUGAUGGCGGGGGAUAACUACUGGAAACGGUAGCUAAUACCGCAUAAUGUCUGCGGACCAAAGCGGGGGACCUCCGGGCCUCGCGCCAUCAGAUGAACCCAUAUGGGAUUAGCUUGUAGGUAAGGUAACGGCUUACCUAGGCGACGAUCCCUAGCUGGUCUGAGAGGAUGACCAGCCACACUGGAACUGAGACACGGUCCAG
RNAcentral lists this ribosomal RNA (229 nucleotides) under uncultured bacterium. Its description in RNAcentral is "partial 16S ribosomal RNA". It matches the Rfam family "Bacterial small subunit ribosomal RNA", at positions 104 to 334 of the family's 1533-position model. The record is from RNAcentral.